Molecule: long non-coding RNA, 5902 nt
Organism: Numida meleagris (helmeted guineafowl)
Lineage: Eukaryota; Metazoa; Chordata; Aves; Galliformes; Numididae
Exons: 3
Source: RefSeq, a predicted model, not a curated record
CUUGCAAAACACAGGAUCUCCUUGAUCAUCUCCUUACAUCAAACAAAAACAGGAACAGGAGCAAGACACUGACUGGAGCCAGAACAUGUCAGUUUGACACACAUUUUCUAGCUGCAAAUGACUUCUUUUACAAAAAGAUCACUAAAGAAGCGGUGUACACUGGGCAUGAAGAAGUUACCACUGCCUAUGGGUAGUUUACCUCCCUGAAUUUCACCUCAGUGGGACCCUGAGAUGAGCCUGCAAAGCACAGUGCGUCCUGCCUCUGCGCAGGGGAUGGGAGUGGGCUGCUACCUCCCAGUUAUGGCCUUUCCUUAGCUACAAUCAGCAGUGGUUCUCACUUCUGUUGAAACAGACGUAGAGCAUGCUGGUACUGAUAUCUGGGGAGGUUUAUUUUGCUUCAUUGUUAGUAACAGCUUAUGCAAAAUAUUCCAUAACAAAUCUUUCCUAUACCACCUGCCGGGCUCUACCUGCAGGACGCAGGCAAGGCGCGGUGCAUGAAUGCAGCGAUCCAUUCUUUCAUCACAGCACAAGGAAUACUUCCACACACACACACAGGGGUGCUGGCUUCUGAUGCUUUACAGUGCUUUUACUGUUCUUGCUGUAUUAAAGUUUAAUUACUUUUUAACUUAGAUAUUUACACAGAACAUAAACUGUUCAGAAGGAUAACUGUCAACCAGCCAAGACCUCCUUGGCAGGACUUUGAGAUCGUAUUUUACUCUUCUGGUGAUGGCAGCUCUGGCACAGAAUUGCUUCAGUUCUGAGGAUUAUAUCUGUGUGUAUGUUUGAUCCCUCUGGGGAGACUGCCAAAGCACCAAGAUUAAUUAGCAACUUACCCAAAAUACACUCCCCAUUAGAUAGAUCUUAAAGGGUUCCUUGUCAAAGCCUGCUUUAUAAAAACACAUUUUGAAAUAUUAAUGAAUCCAUAUCACAAAAGAUGACAUUCUGAACUCUAUCUCAGUGCCCAUUCCCAUCUCCACGCUAUGUAAAAUGACAGUUAUUAGUUUUGUGACAGCUCUGCGCUUACAUCAGCUUUGCAGAGCUCUGGCCAAAUCACAGAAGAGAAACUCUCCUGAUGGACAAAUACUGCAUCAUUAUGUUCCCAGCUACUGCAACAUCCUCAAUCAAUAUAGCUUUAAAAGUAAGUAAGAUGACAGGGAUGCAUUCAAACUGAUGCAUGACCACAGUACAAAACUAAUUACAAAGGCUUUUAGUAAUUGGUUUGAAAUGUACACUCCCUUUCCCAAGGGAAGAGAACAAGGGACAGGUAUCAGUUCAUCUGCCUAAACCCUGGAAAAAUGCAAUGGACACAGACAGGUCUAAAUGAAGACAGGGACGACCUCUUACUCCUGGUAGCAGUGGAUGUUUCACUCAUCAUUCUUAAUUCCCACACUCUUAAUUCCCAAACUGGUUGUGAUCAUAUCAGUUUUCAUCGGCCAUUGAAGCUAAGUGAUGUGGAGCCUGUGCUGAGCUGCUUGCCCUUAAGAGGCCUUUGCACAGCAGCUGAUACACAAAGCCACUAAAGUUAAUUAAACACAGCAGUGGAAGAGCCAACCCUUAAAGGAAGGUUUCCCUACAGAGGUUACCACCAGUUUAAACACCAGUAAGACACCCUCCACUGUGUGCCCCAGACCAGUGCUCUAUUUCAACUUGCCUGGGGAGCAGCAGGGAGGUGUGCAUGGUAUUUCAAUGGACUGCAAUGAGAGAACAGCAGCUAUCCGACAUAGGAGGCUCCACAGAGAUGCUGUCAAGGAGCCUAGAACAACUCCAUAAAACAGAGCCAUAAUGAUGGCACUGUGCUGUGAGCAGGACUGCCUCACGGUGAAUGCACUGCCUUAAGACUCAAAAUCACACCACAUUUCAGCGCUCAACAAUGACCAUCCCCGGAGGAGAGAAGGAAUAGGCCUUCCUACCUCAGUGGGCAGUAAAUGCUCUGCUGGGAGCAGUGCUUUCCACAGCAGUGUCCUGGUGGUGAACAAGUGCUUUUCCAGGGCAAAGUGUGCUUGCUCCAGGCUUCCAGACACGCUGUGCUGCGCCAGCUCGGAGCUGGCACCUGCAGUUUGUGCUCACCCGCAGCAGCAGUCAGCCUGGGUACUGCAGCACAACCCACUGCACAUCUUCCUUCUUCACCCGACCUUCACACUCACACAGUACAGUAAUAGUCAAGAAGCAUGAGUUCACCAACUCAUUCACUUCCCUGGCAGUACCAGCAUGGAGGAGGCACUACUGAAGAACCCACCAUAAUUAAAAUGCACUGCCAAGGGGUCUGUGCUCUAACAGCAUCAGAGGCACAGCUCAAGGAGCCCCUCAGCGACAGCACUAGAUGUUACUGUAGCUGUGCUCUAUAUACUGACGCUACUAAAAAUAAACCAGGAAGACAUUCCUCACCUAAGGCCCAGGAGGGUUCUGGUAUGCAGCUGAGUCAUGCAAUAGUCAUUAAAAUCAACACAACUUCAUCUCUGGUUUGCACUCUAUCAGCACAAGCCAAAAAAAUAUGCCUUUGUACGUAUCAAAAAAGCAACACUGCACCCACUGGAACAAGGAAGUAAUUUGGAGGUCAAGGUCUUCUGGAAACAAUCGCAGAAAUAAGAAAGAAACGCAUUAAGAAAGGAGGAAGUAACACUCUUUUUAUUUUCCACAAAGAACUGGAGAGAAUGUGUUUAGUGCUUGUGGAAGACAUGAGAUCGACAGCAACAUCCUUAGUCAACAAAGCAGCACGAGCCUCUCCCACCUGUUAGCGCUGCCUGGCUCGCUGCAACGCACUGCACUGCCAGCAGCUCGGCUGUGCCAGAAGCUCAGUGACAUUUAUCAGCACGAGGUCAGCUCAAAGGUGAAACACAAACUGUUUCUGAUGACUUGUCAUUUUCCCAUACCAGUCUGAUCACUGAAGAAUAUAUCCUGAGAUGCCAUUUGAAUCUGAGCUACAUAGAGGGCAUGUGUGUAUGCAGACAUACAUGCAGGUUAGGGAUUCUAGAAACGUCAGCUGCAUUUAAUCAGAUGAUGCUUAUACCUAAGAGAGAGCUACCAAACCUGCCUACAAGUACAGAAAGAUUAUGAGGUGUACACUGCUAUCAUCACCCUACCAGUGGGGACACUGCUGCUGCUCAAGUACACGAUCCUCAUUAGUGAGACUAAUCUUCAGGAGCUCAGUCCUCAGAACUGCAUCCAACAAGCUGCAUUGGACUAUCCCACAGCAUUGCUCUUUAACACCUUCUUUCUCCAUUCCUUUAAAAGCAUUCUUUUGGCACUCUAAAGGUCUCCUUGAAAAGCUUCACGGCCACUGCUUAAAAUCUAGUUAUUUCAUACAAUUUCUAUUCACUUCUUUUCUACAGUGGACAACAGUGAAACAACAUAUCCCAGAUGUGCAGCAGGCCUUACUCCGAGAUGAUGAUGCAGACUGAAGUUAUAUGGUGGUUUCACCUCAACAUGGGAAAACAAACAUCAACACAGGUUUAGGAAAAGGACUCGACUGCUGCCGUACGGUUAAAAUAAACACAGCAAAACCCACAAGAUUUCCCCGUUAAAUAAAGGAAUGACAUCCAAAUACUUGCACAUUCAUCUCUGAAAAGCCCGAAGCAUUUUAACUCGCACACAGGCACCGCUGGGACAGCAGUCCUUCUUCAGCUCCACACUUAAAGAAAUGCAGAAUUUUGAAAAACUAGACAAGCCAACAGGUAACACCGAGCAGCCAAAGCACCAGCGGCCAGAGCCACAGGGCACCCGACUGCAGAACUGCUCCAUGGUGCCCUGCAGCCAGCGUGGAGGCGAGGGGCCCAGCGCAGAUGCAAGCGCUGCCUGAAACAAAAUCAUUCUGCACAUCUACGGUCACACAGAUAUCCAUCUUGUAUCUCUCUGAUGUAUGGGUUUAAACAGGAGCCAAGUGAAUUCAGGGUGUGAUGAAACUCCCCAGAUCAAGCAAGCCCUGCUCUUCCUUCUCCCACCCACAAAUGACACCGGUGUCUCCAGCUCUUUUCCAGGGAAGCUGCUGCACUGCCGUCUCCUGCAGGCAUCCCCACUUCAGGGAUAACAUCCCAGAACAGAACUUGGCUACAUGCACAAGCUUCAGUUUCAAGUUCAGUCUCAGUUGGACCACUGCAAAUGUACUAUUCCAGUUUAGAACUUGUUAUACAGGUUGAGCUUACUGCUGGAAAAGCCAACCUACCUACCCAGCCAUUGCGGGCCAGCCUUACAAGUGCCUUAAGAGCUCUCAUCCCCCAGAGUGCUGUUUGUUUCAUCUUACAAAUUACUUCACUAUGGAGGUGAAAAACCUUACAGCUGCUUUAGGCACGUAGGAACAGUGCUGAUAGAAGGAUGACACUGUCAGUCAUGAUACCUAAAAUAUUUAUUUUAAAGCGUCAUUUUUUUCCUGCUCAUCUUUGCACGGAGCUGAGCCAUGCAGCUCCCAGAACAGCACUUACCUCCUGGCUGCUAACGACCAGCACUCAGCCUUUACAGACACUGCACUGCUGCAGGGGGCUGCCUGCUCUCUGGGUUUUAGAGGGAGACAGCAUGCUCAGAAAGGCUCCAUCAAAGCAAGAGCCACUUGCCCAAGACAUCAGCUGCAGCCAGCAGUCCUCAUCACGGGAAAGCCAUCACCAAAGCACUGAGAAUUAAGAAUCUGCACUGAGAAUCAAUGGGAAAAUUUUCACUGAAAACCUGGCAAAUUCAACAUCGGAUGAGGGGAAGACAGAGCUCCUGAAAAUGAAGCAAUCUGCGAAAAGGUGAAGCUGCAACUCCAAAUGCCAAGAUAAACUGGCUCUGCAAACAGAACAUGUUCAGAUAACUGCGGAGGCCCCGAUAAAAGGACAAUGCUAUUACCUCUGGGAAGCAAAGAUACCCACGUAAAUCAGGCUGUCUGCUUGGGAUGUUGUUCUGGUCUCUUGAGGAUAGGAUCAAGUAGGUACUUCAUAAUUAAUUUAGUUGUCACUUGUGUAACACAUCCUUACUCCUACACAUGGAAAGAUUACUAAUAGCUUAAUUCUCUUUUGUUGUUGUUGUUUUUAAAUCACAGCCAUUCCUGUUGGGUAAAGCAGCCUUAAAGUAAACACAUACCCAGCCUUUCACAUUCCUUCCAAUGAUCAGAAACAACAAAACAGCUAUUUAUGAAUCAGAAAGGUCAGUGUAGGAUGCACUUCUGCAGGGGACAGAUGCACGUUACAGCCAGAGGGUGGGAAUGUUUGAGACACAGUGCUGCUGGCCUAAAGGGCUGAUGGUUAUUAUCUGUGUGGAAGAUACCCCCACUGCCGUGCAUGCUGCAGGGAGAAUGCAGACACACCUCGUCCCCACUCAUGUGACAGUAAGCUGUGCAGUCAUCCUGCAAUGUUUUAUUGAUAAGGCUCCACUAAUUUUGUGUUAGUUACACACAUGCCAUUGACCACCAAAAUCAGAUCUAUAGUACAGGUGGUUUCAAACCAGACAUGGAAACAUAUGGCCUAGAAAAUCAGAGAAUCAUGGAAUGGUUUGGGUUGGAAGGGACCUUCAAGAAACACAGGACUGUUGGCAAGGCACAGGACAAGACUCAAGAAGGUAACCUUGAGUUAACAUUAGGAGGCAAGGAUUAUAACACGCUGCAUUACAGAGGAACAUCUUAUCAGUAAGUAAGAAAGUAAUCAAGGAAUAAGUGUCUGAAGCCAAGAUCUAUGGCAAACAGGCCACACACCUGGAAGGUGCAGUUCUUAAAGGAGAAGCUACCAAAGAAACUCUGUGACUGUGGAUACAUUAGCCACUUCCACAACUUCAGACGCACACCUGAAGCAGCAAGGCAGUAUUUGUAAAACCUCUGCCAGUUCUCAAAACAUGGCAGCCCUAAAGGCAGCAAUAAGCACAUCCAGCACCAUCUGAGUUGCCGUGAUUAAGUGACUUCUCUGAUUGACUGUUUAAUACAGCUUUGUUUGUUUGCUUUCCU